This is a non-coding RNA of Cyanistes caeruleus (blue tit), 3785 nucleotides long. Lineage: Eukaryota; Metazoa; Chordata; Aves; Passeriformes; Paridae. The record is from RefSeq and is a predicted model, not a curated record.
GAAACUGGUUGACUGAGAUGAUCCAUAGACUUAAACUCUUGGGAAGAAUUUAUUUGAGUUAGGAAGCUGCUCCAAUAAAAAUGUAACUGACUGUAACUUCUUCUUAGUUGUUCAGCAGAUCGUAGCCGGAAAAGUGCCCGUCCCCCUCUCGCUGUUCUUAAGCCUGUGGAUUCUCUGAGUGCCAAGGAAAGCGCAGCAGCAGCAGCAGCAGCAGCCUGUAAUGAGCUGAAUGGAAUUGAACGUUUGGCUGAGGAUGCAAUUGUGACAGGCUCCUACAAGAACAAGACCCUUUGUGCCAACCCAGAGGACAUGUGUGACUUUAACAGGGCUGCCCACCUGGCCUCAACACCCUUCCACGGGGUGGUGGCUCAGAGGGUCCCAGCUCCUGCUUUCUCUCAGAGUGAACUGAAGGAAGAAGAUAGUCCAGAAUCCAGGAGUGCACCUCUGGCUUAGGAGACACCAGUGUGUGCAGGAGUAUACAUGAAUCUUGGAAAGUGCAGAGAUGGAGCCCCUUGGAGAGUAGCAGUGUGUCGCUAGAGGACGUGGACCGAUUCAUACAAACAGGUCUCAGUGGUGUCAUAGAAAAAAAAGAGCUUUUAUUUUCCUGACUCCAGUAUUUAUAGAUUUUUUUGUCAAUGACCAGGGAGGUAUUGGGUAAUUGUUAUAAAUGAAAUGCAACCAAAUUUAUCAAUAAUAAUUUUAUUGAACAAUUUGUUAAUUUUAGUUAUGGAAACAACCACAUCACAGUUAAGGUUGAAGCGUCGAGCCUGGGAUCGGCACUGGGUGAACUCUGAAUCAAUCUCUAUUGCCCUGAUUCCUCCAAGUUCAGCCAGCGAACAACCACAGUCCAGAGAGGUCACGAGCUAGCUCAGGAGCUCUCCGAGAACUCUAGAAGACCAAAAGGACAUCUUCCAAACCGUGGCAAAAAUUUGCUCUUAAAAUCUGAGUGCACAAAGAACCCACGCAAGAAAAAGGCACCGUAAGUAUUGCCUGGUUGAGCAGGGCAAUUGAGCGUGAUUGAGACGUGAUUUUAUCAUGAAGUGAGUGUGGACACCAAGGCUGCAGCUCUGUCUUCCUGCGAGGAAAAUGGUCGGCCAUGCGGGAAGCGUGUGGAAAAUUCCCAAAAAAAUCCUGUCAAAAAACCCCGAAUGGAAAGUUGUCAGGAGGGGAGGGGGACUUUUUGAGAAAGAAGCACAGCUCACCUCGUAGUUCUAAAGGGAAAGUUCCAGUGGGGAACGCAUAAGAGUCAUUCCCAACUCCUGUUAACCCAAAAUUGGGUAAGAGUGGUUUUUGGGGGGAAAUCUUGGGAAAGGGUCUUGGUUCACCCAAAGGGAGAGGUUCCGGGAACGCGCAGACUACACAGUCUCACGGUAUGCCUUCAGUGUGGUACAUACUUUUGGGAAGAUUUGGGAAGAAAGAGGAUUGAUAAAUACUAAGGGAAAAGACCUAAUCCAUGGGGAAAUAAUCCGACAGAUUCUAGAGGCUGUCCGAGAGCCGGAAGAAAUAUCAGUUGUCCAUGUAAAAGGACACCAGACGGGGUUGCAGUUUCAAACCCGAGGUAACAACCUAGCCGAUAAAGAGGCAAAACGAGCAGCUCUGCUCACCGACCUGCGAAAACAAGGACUAAUUCCCCAAAGCGCCACUCUAGGAUUCGCUAUACACCAGAUACAGCCUGGGGAUAAAGUCCUCGUCAAAACUUAGAAGGAGCUUCCCCUCACCCCCCAUUGGGAAGGACCGUUCCUCGUUCUCCUGACCACAGACACAGCUGUCCGGACCGCAGAAAGGGGCUGGACACACUCAUCUCGAGUAAAAAAAGUACAGGAUUACGACGCCUCCGAGUGGAAAGUCACCACCCCUCCGGGAGAGCUGAAAAUUAAACCUCGGCGUCAUCACAAAUGACCAGUGAUAACCAGAUAAGUUGUAUCAACCCUGAAUGUGAUGGUUUUCUGUUUAUACAUUUUAAGUGCACUUAUUGUAAACAGAUUUGGGUAACCCACUGUUGGGGAGGGUACAAGCCUAAGGGAUUGUGUACCAAGUGUCUAGAAAAAGAACAGGAGGAGACUAGCCGUCUCUUAAUACUUGCCACCCGGGCGGGGUUUUUAAAACUUGACUCUCCUAAGUGGUAUCUGCUUUUUCAAAAAGGGAUAAGAGAUAAACUAGACUCCAAGACAGAAGCUUUGAAAAUCGAGUGCCGAAAGACAGUUAAGGUACCGUGCAGGACAGACACAAUCAAGUCGUCUCGGUGGGCUACUUUCAAGAGAAGGUACGCCAUAAGGACUACAAGGGCCCCUGAAGAAUAUCCUUGCUGCCAAGAAGAUGGUAAUCCCCGCCGUAUAUUUUUAUACGGGCGAAGGGUAAGGCAGAGGGAUACAACAGUGGGGAAUCCUGAUUGUCCCGAGUCUAGCCAUGUGCUUGGCCGAGGGAAUGAGCCCCGAGGUACCUCUGGGGGAGCGUCUCCUGGGGAUGUGUGAGCAGUGUCAGACUGCCACAGAUACCGGACGAAUAAUUGACUGUCCUCCAGAACGACAAAAGGGGUUUUGUUUGUCUAACGGCACUCAGUAUAAUCUCUGUGAACUAAAGGGGGGAGGUCUGGUGUUACCACUCAGGGGCAGGUUUUAAGGACGGGCAGUCUAAGACUCCUAUGAGAAGAAAAACCAAAGCUACCCACUUCAGGUAUAAGAGAGAAGUGGGAAUGCUUCCUCCAAUUCCAAUCUGUAGCCAAUGCUACAAAACUGUCUAGAUAGGAGGAAAAAGACAAUCCACCUUUUUAGCAUAUUAUAAAGUCAACCCUUUGUGUUACAAUAAAGCAAACUUAAAAAUGUGUACCAUAGGAGGAAAAUUGUAUUGGGAAGGUAAAAAUUUAAAACAUGAAGAAAAAGCCUCCUUUAGUAAUGAACCGAUAAUUCUUGAUUUGUUAAAAAGUGAUGAUGACCGAGUAUGUUUACAAUUUGAUCAAGUGUUCUGCUUCUCCAGAGAUAUGAGGAAGGGAUAGACCCUGAAAGCAAAAUAAAGCAACUAACCCUAGAAUUAAAGAGGUGAGAAGUAGAAAUUCGGAAAAAGAGACUAGAAAAAGAGAGACUUAACUCUCUUAGUGAGCACUAUGAGCAAUUAGAAAGACAAUACAGCAACUGGGGAUUACCAGCUCCCAACCAGAAUCUUUUCACAGACCUAAUGCAAGAAAUAGCCACAGAAUUAGGUCUAUCUAACUGUUGGAUCUGUGGCAGUUUAAAGUCGGCUGAAAGGUGGCCUUGGAAGGGAGAGGGACUCACCCCAGAGCAACUCCUAAAAUGGGAGGGCUCAAAAAUGUCAAAAACAACACAAAGACCCGAGGGAUGGGUGAUAGACCAAAGAAUAAUUGGUACCGUCUUCAUUAGCAGAGAGGGAAAAGAAUUCACAGAAGUAGUAGGUUAUACUCCGUGUAUAAACACACUCACAGUGAAUUCUGACAUUAAAUCAAAAACUUGGCAACCUGAACCACCCACGGGCUAUUGGAGUCGCACCCAGGGUAAUCACUGUGAAUGGGUUGAAAUAGUUGAACUAUGUUGUUACAAAAACUCUGGGGCCAAUCCCUUCCAUGCACUAGAAGGCCUAAAAGAAUAUUGGGAUGAUCCGGCAAGAACAAACAAAGGCUGGGAAGCUCCUGACGGUAUUUACUGGAUAUGUGGCAAGAAAGCAUAUAGUGAGCUACCUGAGAAAUGGAAGGGCUCCUGCACACUCGGAAUAAUUAGGCCCUUUUUCUUUACUCUACCCAGAACAGAAAGUAAAUUGCUGGGAGCUCCCCUCUU